Carassius gibelio (silver crucian carp) is the source of this 531-nucleotide long non-coding RNA. RefSeq lists it as uncharacterized. The transcript is spliced from 3 exons. The record is from RefSeq and is a predicted model, not a curated record. Lineage: Eukaryota; Metazoa; Chordata; Actinopteri; Cypriniformes; Cyprinidae.
UCACUUAACUUCAUCAUCUUGUCCGCCUGGUUGUCCACGUGCAGCUACAAACCCAACCCCUGGACCUCAUGACAUCUCCCAAUCAAGGGCAGCAGAUCCAACUCAACCUGUGCUGAGGAUGUUUCCCAAGACCACACAAGGUCAGAAAAGAAGGGCAUUCAACCCGCAGUGAAAUUUGAUCUCGAGCUCGAGGCCGUGGGGAAGCAGAUUCGCGACCUGGAGGUAAGGCAGGCCCAGCUGAGAGAGCGGAGAGCCGCGCUGGAAUCAUCCCGGGCUGACGCUCACAAGUCCGGGGUAAGUAUACAGUGUGCUGUUAACAGUCCCACCACGUCUACUCCGUGUGUUUCUCUGCGCAGGCCCGGUGCACCCAGGACGCGAUCUUCCCAGAUGUCCUUCACUGCGACGCCGGGACACCACGGACCCUGGGUGCAUCCACAGCGGAGGACACGAGCCGGGUCCCGGGCAACGACUUCUCCUCCUCCUGCCUUCGAGAUCUCCAUCCAGAACCGCUUCGCUCCCCUCCGCGAGACA